UUUUUCUAUGAGCCGUGGAACUUUUCCAAACUUGAUAUUGGGUUUAAUGAAGUACUUAGAGUGAAUAAUUGAGUAUGAAUUUAUGUAUUUGGGAAUGUGAAUGUGUUGAUGGUUUAAGAAAUAUUUUGGACGGAGUUGAAUCGGUGAAAACGAGUUUUGAGCUAAAUGUCGUUUUGUCUUGGGAUUUUCUCAUACGAACUUAGGCUAAUCUUUGAACUAAUGAUUGAUAGUUCGUAAGUGGCCUAUGCUCAUACUUAAAUGAUUGAUUAAGAUUGAAUUGUAGGAUUUCAAACUUGAAUAAGUUGUCUAGCUUUGAAAAUUAUCAAUGUUGGCCGUUUGCCACAUGAAUUGGAUUUUUGUCGGAAAUGUUUCUUUAGCCAAUUGUCUUGUGAGUUAUUGUGACCAUUCUUGUAUGACUAAGUGAAGAUGUGUGAAUGAAUGGUUAUAUGUUGGAUGUGAUGUUUAUCUUAAGGUGACAUAUUUUCCUCUUUACUUGGAAUGUGAGCAAAUCAUGUAUUUGAUGUGAAACUAUAUGAAGGUGAUGAUAUUGGUGAAUCCAUAUACAUUGUUUAUUAUGAUAGGGUGUGUGAAUAUAUAUGUCGUUGUGAAUUGUUGGUGAGUGCAUAUAUGUCGAGAAAUGACGAAUUGGUGUGAAUGCAUUUAUGCAAGUAAUAUUGGUGAGAAUAUGGUGAAUUGUUUGUAUGAACAUAUGUAUUGUUGUUGAGAUAUAUGUUUAUGCAUACAUGACUGAUGGUGACGGAUUUUAUAUCCAACGUGGUGAGUUGUUUGUGUGAACAUAUGCAUUGUUGUUGAGUCAUAUGUUCAUACAUACAUGACUGAUGGAGACAGAUAUUUUUAUAUAUCCAAAUGGUGAGAUUAUGAUGUUCUGUCGGCAUCAUGGGCGACGGCCUAAAUAUUGGUGAGACCGGUACCACAUGCA
RNAcentral lists this long non-coding RNA (940 nucleotides) under Medicago truncatula (barrel medic). RNAcentral describes it as "long non-coding RNA (MTRU_LNC001319)". Lineage: Eukaryota; Viridiplantae; Streptophyta; Magnoliopsida; Fabales; Fabaceae. The record is from RNAcentral.